CCUGUAAAAAUUUAUAAUAAAACAUCUGAAAUAUGUGCCGUCAUCUUUUCUGCUACUGAAAUCUUAUCAUCUAAUGAAAAUUUUAAAUAUCUCUUGUAAGCAUCGCUUUUCCAAUCUCCGUACAAUUGAAUUAAUUCAGUAGGUACUUCGGCUGCAAAAGCCCAGCUAGCCCCCCCUCGCCUAAAACUAUGUGUAGAAUAUGAACAAGCAUCUAAACCAAUCUCAGUAAUUAAC
This 234-nucleotide long non-coding RNA is filed under the name Mytilus galloprovincialis (Mediterranean mussel). Lineage: Eukaryota; Metazoa; Mollusca; Bivalvia; Mytilida; Mytilidae. The record is from RNAcentral.